RNAcentral lists this ribosomal RNA (421 nucleotides) under uncultured bacterium. RNAcentral's name for it is "bacterial SSU rRNA". It matches the Rfam family "Bacterial small subunit ribosomal RNA", at positions 355 to 774 of the family's 1533-position model. The record is from RNAcentral.
UAAGGAAUAUUGGUCAAUGGACGCAAGUCUGAACCAGCCAUGCCGCGUGAAGGAUGAAGGUCCUCUGGAUUGUAAACUUCUUUUAUCUGGGACGAAAACGGGAUUUUUAUCUCAAUUGACGGUACCAGAGGAAUAAGCACCGGCUAACUCCGUGCCAGCAGCCGCGGUAAUACGGAGGGUGCGAGCGUUAUCCGGAUUUACUGGGUUUAAAGGGUGAGUAGGUGGGCUUAUAAGUCAGUGGUGAAAUCUCCGAGCUUAACUUAGAAACUGCCGUUUAUACUAUAGGUCUUGAAUUAUCUGGAGGUAAGCGGAAUAUGUCAUGUAGCGGUGAAAUGCUUAGAUAUGACAUAGAACACCAAUUGCGAAGGCAGCUUACUACAUAUAAAUUGACGCUGAGGCACGAAAGCGUGGGGAUCAAACA